GACGAACGCUGGCGGCGUGCUUAACAAAUGCGAGUCGAACGGAGAGGCCCUGCUUUUGUGGGGUGCUCGAGUGGCGAACGGGUGAGUAACACGUGAGUAACCUGCCCUUGACUUUGGGAUAACUUCAGGAAACUGGGGCUAAUACCGGAUAGGAGCGCCGGCUGCAUGGUGGGGGUUGGAAAGUUUCGGCGGUUGGGGAUGGACUCGCGGCUUAUCAGCGUGUUGGUGGGGUAGUGGCUUACCAAGGCUUUGACGGGUAGCCGGCCUGAGAGGGUGACCGGCCACAUUGGGACUGAGAUACGGCCCAGACUCCUACGGGAGGCAGCAGUGGGGAAUAUUGCACAAUGGGCGGAAGCCUGAUGCAGCAACGCCGCGUGCGGGAUGACGGCCUUCGGGUUGUAAACCGCUUUCGCCUGUGACGAAGCGUGAGUGACGGUAAUGGGUAAAGAAGCACCGGCUAACUACGUG
This 468-nucleotide ribosomal RNA is filed under the name uncultured bacterium. RNAcentral's name for it is "partial 16S ribosomal RNA". It matches the Rfam family "Bacterial small subunit ribosomal RNA", at positions 28 to 507 of the family's 1533-position model. The record is from RNAcentral.